GACGAACGCUGGCGGCGUGCCUAAUACAUGCAAGUCGAGCGCAGGAAACUGACGGAACUCUUCGGAGGGAAGGCAGUGGAAUGAGCGGUGGACGGGUGAGUAACACGUAAGGAACCUGCCUCAAGGAUUGGGAUAACUCCGAGAAAUCGGAGCUAAUACCGGAUAGUUCAUCGGACCGCAUGGUCCGCUGAUGAAAGGCGCUCCGGCGUCACCUUGAGAUGGCCUUGCGGUGCAUUAGCUAGUUGGUGGGGUAACGGCCCACCAAGGCGACGAUGCAUAGCCGACCUGAGAGGGUGAUCGGCCACACUGGGACUGAGACACGGCCCGGACUCCUACGGGAGGCAGCAGUAGGGAAUCUUCCACAAUGGACGAAAGUCUGAUGGAGCAACGCCGCGUGAGUGAUGAAGGUUUUCGGAUCGUAAAACUCUGUUGUAAGGGAAGAACACGUACGAGAGGGAAUGCUCGUACCUUGACGGUACCUUACGAGAAAGCCACGGCUAACUAUGUGCCAGCCGCCGCGGUAA
This 524-nucleotide ribosomal RNA is filed under the name uncultured bacterium. Its description in RNAcentral is "partial 16S ribosomal RNA". It matches the Rfam family "Bacterial small subunit ribosomal RNA", at positions 28 to 523 of the family's 1533-position model. The record is from RNAcentral.